GGGGGCGUUUUGGCUUCGACAGGGUCGGUUCGUGUCGGAAGAGUGCAUGCCUGGGGUGGGGACGUGACCCGGUAUAAAUGCGUCUCAUCGCUUAUUUGGCAACGAAUUAGCACUAGCUGCUUAAUUAGAUUUAGGUAGCCGACAACCUUGAGAUCGCUGGUGUUUCUUGGAAGUCGUCAUUUAGCCAGCUUUGGUGUAAGACUUUCUGUUCGGAGGAAUUGCAUCGAGCCUUAAUCGAACUAUAGUAUGCUCAGCCUGGCUGUGGGCGUAGCAUACUAGAAUUUAAAUCACAAGCCUAAGCAUGUAGGACUCUCUGAACAUCGGCUCUGGACGCGGGUUCGAUCCCCGCCGCCUCCACCA
Molecule: transfer-messenger RNA, 360 nt
Filed under: Zetaproteobacteria bacterium
Lineage: Bacteria; Pseudomonadati; Pseudomonadota; Candidatius Mariprofundia
Rfam family: transfer-messenger RNA
About the family: Bacterial tmRNA, also known as 10Sa RNA or SsrA, is named for its dual tRNA and mRNA-like properties. Its role is to liberate the mRNA from a stalled ribosome.
Source: RNAcentral